GCCAGCAGCCAUAUCACCCUGUAGCCCAAGACUGGUUGCCCACUGAAGCUAAGCAGGGCUGAGCCUGGUCAGUACCUGGAUGGGAGACCUCCUGGGAAAACUUGGUUGCUGUUGGAA
Molecule: ribosomal RNA, 117 nt
Filed under: Sinocyclocheilus anshuiensis
Lineage: Eukaryota; Metazoa; Chordata; Actinopteri; Cypriniformes; Cyprinidae
Source: RNAcentral